RNAcentral lists this ribosomal RNA (497 nucleotides) under uncultured bacterium. RNAcentral's name for it is "partial 16S ribosomal RNA". It matches the Rfam family "Bacterial small subunit ribosomal RNA", at positions 28 to 507 of the family's 1533-position model. The record is from RNAcentral.
GAUGAACGCUGGCGGCGUGCCUAAUACAUGCCAGUCGAGCGAACAGACGAGGAGCUUGCUCCUCUGACGUUAGCGGCGGACGGGUGAGUAACACGUGGAUAACCUACCUAUAAGACUGGGAUAACUUCGGGAAACCGGAGCUAAUACCGGAUAAUAUAUUGAACCGUAUGGUUCAAUAGUGAAAGACGGUUUUGCUGUCACUUAUAGAUGGAUCCGCGCCGCAUUAGCUAGUUGGUAAGGUAACGGCUUACCAAGGCAACGAUGCGUAGCCGACCUGAGAGGGUGAUCGGCCACACUGGAACUGAGACACGGUCCAGACUCCUACGGGAGGCAGCAGUAGGGAAUCUUCCGCAAUGGGCGAAAGCUUGACGGAGCAACGCCGCGUGAGUGAUGAAGGUCUUCGGAUCGUAAAACUCUGUUAUUAGGGAAGAACAAAUGUGUAAGUAACUAUGCACGUCUUGACGGUACCUAAUCAGAAAGCCACGGCUAACUACGUG